RNAcentral lists this ribosomal RNA (301 nucleotides) under uncultured bacterium. Its description in RNAcentral is "partial 16S ribosomal RNA". It matches the Rfam family "Bacterial small subunit ribosomal RNA", at positions 509 to 807 of the family's 1533-position model. The record is from RNAcentral.
CAGCAGCCACGGUAAUACGAAGGGGGCUAGCGUUGCUCGGAAUUACUGGGCGUAAAGCGCACGUAGGCGGAUAUUUAAGUCAGGGGUGAAAUCCCAGAGCUCAACUCUGGAACUGCCUUUGAUACUGGGUAUCUUGAGUAUGGAAGAGGUGAGUGGAAUUCCGAGUGUAGAGGUGAAAUUCGUAGAUAUUCGGAGGAACACCAGUGGCGAAGGCGGCUCACUGGUCCAUUACUGACGCUGAGGUGCGAAAGCGUGGGGAGCAAACAGGAUUAGAUACCCCGGUAGUCCCUGUCUCUUAUAC